CUCUCUGUAGCUCAGUUGGUUAGAGCGUUGCAUCGGAAUCGCAGGGCCGUAGGUUCAAUUCCUGCCAGAGGGC
Molecule: transfer RNA, 73 nt
Filed under: Paramuricea clavata
Lineage: Eukaryota; Metazoa; Cnidaria; Anthozoa; Malacalcyonacea; Plexauridae
Rfam family: tRNA
About the family: Transfer RNA (tRNA) molecules are approximately 80 nucleotides in length. Their secondary structure includes four short double-helical elements and three loops (D, anti-codon, and T loops).
Source: Rfam by way of RNAcentral